RNAcentral lists this ribosomal RNA (468 nucleotides) under uncultured bacterium. RNAcentral's name for it is "partial 16S ribosomal RNA". It matches the Rfam family "Bacterial small subunit ribosomal RNA", at positions 28 to 507 of the family's 1533-position model. The record is from RNAcentral.
GACGAACGCUGGUGGCGUGCUUAACACAUGCAAGUCGAACGGGAAGGCUCUGCUUUUGUGGGGUGCUCGAGUGGCGAAAGGGUGAGUAACACGUGAGUAACCUGCCCUUGACUUUGGGAUAACUUCAGGAAACUGGGGCUAAUACCGGAUAGGAGCUCCUGCUGCAUGGUGGGGGUUGGAAAGUUUCGGCGGUUGGGGAUGGACGCGCGUCUUAUCAGCUUGUUGGUGGGGUAGUGGCUUACCAAGGCUUUGACGGGUAGCCGGCCUGAGAGGGUGACCGUCCACAUUGGGACUGAAAUACGGCCCAGACUCCUACGGGAGGCAGCAGUGUGGAAUAUUGCACGAUGGGCGGAAGCCUGAUGCAGCAACGCCGCGUGCGGGAUGACGGCCUUCGGGUUGUAAACCGCUUUCGCCUGUGACGAAGCGUGAGUGACGGUAAUGGGUAAAGAAGCACCGGCUAACUACGUG